This 451-nucleotide ribosomal RNA is filed under the name uncultured bacterium. Its description in RNAcentral is "bacterial SSU rRNA". It matches the Rfam family "Bacterial small subunit ribosomal RNA", at positions 340 to 786 of the family's 1533-position model. The record is from RNAcentral.
UACGGAAGGCAGCAGUGGGGAAUAUUGCACAAUGGGCGCAAGCCUGAUGCAGCCAUGCCGCGUGUAUGAAAAAGGCCUUCGGGUUGUAAAGUACUUUCAGUCGUGAGGAAGGUGUUAAGGUUAAUAACCUUAGCAAUUGACGUUAGCGACAGAAGAAGCACCGGCUAACUCCGUGCCAGCAGCCGCGGUAAUACGGAGGGUGCGAGCGUUAAUCGGAAUUACUGGGCGUAAAGGGCACGCAGGCGGUUAAUUAAGUUGGAUGUGAAAUCCCCGGGCUUAACCUGGGAAUGGCAUUCAAGCUGGUUAGCUAGAGUCUUGUAGAGGGGGUAGAAUUCCAUGUGUAGCAGUAAAUGCGUAGGGAUGUGGAGGAAUACCGGUGGCGAAGGCGGCCCCUGGACAAAGACUGACGCUCAUGUGCGAAAGCGUGGGGAGCAAACAGGGAUUAGAUACC